UGGAGACUGAAGUCUUCUGUUUGUCCACAGAACAGAUAACAGUGCAGGAAUUUGCUGUGCACACCCACCACACAGCACUUUGCCAAUGUGACUGAACCAGGCCCUGGAGAAAUGACUCCAGGUGUGAGAGGUAGCUCAGUAUCUGUG
This 147-nucleotide small RNA is filed under the name Cavia porcellus (domestic guinea pig). Its description in RNAcentral is "TUC338 (ENSCPOG00000032234.1)". The record is from RNAcentral. Lineage: Eukaryota; Metazoa; Chordata; Mammalia; Rodentia; Caviidae.